UACGAGGGCGGCUAGGGUUGUUCGGAAUUACUGGACGUAAAGCGCACGUAGGCGGAUUUGUUAGUCAGGGGUGAAAUCCCGGGGCUCAACCUCGGAACUGCCUUUGAUACUGCAAGUCUAGAGUCCGGAAGAGGUGAGUGGAAUUCCUAGUGUAGAGGUGAAAUUCGUAGAUAUUAGGAAGAACCCAAGUGGCGAAGGCGGCUCACUGGUCCGGUACUGACGCUGAGGUGCGAAAGCGUGGGGAGCAAACAGG
RNAcentral lists this ribosomal RNA (253 nucleotides) under uncultured bacterium. RNAcentral's name for it is "partial 16S ribosomal RNA". It matches the Rfam family "Bacterial small subunit ribosomal RNA", at positions 524 to 776 of the family's 1533-position model. The record is from RNAcentral.